GCACUGCUUUGGUGGUUGGAUUUGGUCGCUCCGAUUUUGGGAAUUCACAGAAGGAAAACAUUACAUAACUUAAAGUAAGCAAAAACGCAAAGAUUUUUCCAGUGAAGAACUUCCUUGUCGCAAGUUCUCUCAUCCGUCGUGGAGACUUCAUAUGAUUGACGUUUCUUUGCGUGUGUAGCUCUCUCCAUAGAAAGUUCAGCGGUACGGCAGUGAGCUCCCUUCACUGAAAUUAUGUUAAGUGACGGCGUCUCUCUUGUUUUCUGCUGCACUGUAGCUUUGCAGCUGCUGAUCCAUUCCCUGCAUAUGUCCUGGCCAGUCUUGAUAAUCCUCCGUGACUUGUUGAAAACCAAACAGGCGUUCUUCUUCGAGUGACAGUAAACCAGGAUUUUGGCUGCUCGACUUCUAGUUCUUUGUCUUCCUCGACGAUCCUUACAUUAUCCAUGGCGGCGAUGUAACGAAACGAAGAACCAUCUCUUCCGAGCUCUAGCAUCAAAGUAACCAUGAGAUUCCAGAAAUCAUCAGCUACGUUGAGUUCAUUGUGGAGAUUCGAAUAAAAAAACCUAGACUUACUUCACAGUAGUAUGAUCAAACUAUUCCCAGAGUGCUGCUUGCCUGUAGACAUGUUCA
Molecule: long non-coding RNA, 627 nt
Filed under: Selaginella moellendorffii
Lineage: Eukaryota; Viridiplantae; Streptophyta; Lycopodiopsida; Selaginellales; Selaginellaceae
Description: long non-coding RNA (SMOE_LNC000414)
Source: RNAcentral